AGGGCUAGAUCUGGGACCAGGGCUAGAUCUGGGACCAGGGCUGGAUCUGGGACCAGGGCUGGAUCUGGGACAAGGGCUGGAUCUGGGGCCAGGGUCUUACUGAUACAGGAGAGAGACUCUGAUGCUGGGGGGAACACAGAAGCUUGCCCCCCCUCCUCAACUGUGACACGGGUCUGUCUUGUGGGGGUAUAGGAGGGGGGUUGGAAGCGGUCCCUUACUCUAGAUCUCCAUCUGCGAUUUCCUACAAAUCUCUAUAGCGUCGGCUCCUGAAUCUGGAAGAAAAGAUGGAUUCUGAGAAAAGCGGAUAUUUCACCAAUUCAUGAAGAAAAGAAAAGAAAAUGAUGUAAGACA
Molecule: long non-coding RNA, 351 nt
Organism: Hypomesus transpacificus
Lineage: Eukaryota; Metazoa; Chordata; Actinopteri; Osmeriformes; Osmeridae
Exons: 2
Source: RefSeq, a predicted model, not a curated record